This 253-nucleotide ribosomal RNA is filed under the name uncultured bacterium. Its description in RNAcentral is "partial 16S ribosomal RNA". It matches the Rfam family "Bacterial small subunit ribosomal RNA", at positions 524 to 776 of the family's 1533-position model. The record is from RNAcentral.
GACGAAGGAUGCAAGCGUUAUCCGGAUUCAUUGGGUUUAAAGGGAGCGUAGGCGGCUUUGUAAGUCAGUGGUGAAAUGUAUGGGCUUAACCCAUAACUUGCCAUUGAUACUGCAGAGCUUGAGUACAGAUGCCGUUGGCGGAAUAUGACAUGUAGUGGUGAAAUACAUAGAGAUGUCAUAGAACACCGAUUGCGAAGGCAGCUAACGAAACUGUAACUGACGCUGAGGCUCGAAAGUGCGGGGAUCAAACAGG